GAAGCGGGACAGCAUAAAUUUGAAAUCUCGGGAAUUGUAGUUUAGAGAAGCGUUUUGGCGANGCNUUGGUUUAAGCCCUUGGAAUAGGGUGCAUAGAGGGUGAGAACCCCGUUAAACCUUGACUGGAGCUAUGUGAUACGCCUUCCAAGAGUCGGGUUGUUUGGGAUUGCAGCCCAAAAGGGAGGUAAUUCCUUCUAAAGCUAAAUAUUGGCGAGAGACCGAUAGCGAACAAGUCCGGUGAGGGAAAGAUGAAAAGAACUUUGAAAAGAGAGUUAAAUAGUACGGUGAAAUUGUCAAAAGGGAACGGCUUGAAACCAGUCAUGCUUUGCCGGUAUUCAGCAGGUCACUCCGACCUGUGCACUUUGCCGGUUAGCAGGUCAACGUCAGUUUUCUUCGCAGGUGAAAAGCAGAGGGCUUUCGGCCCAAAGUUAUGCUGUGUGGGGAGACUGAGGACUGCAGGGCGCAUUUGGCUACCCGAGUAAAGUGAAUGCUUUUCAGCACACUACAUGAGAGUGUUGGAAAGAUAAGCUUUUCUUGGUUACGUCUCUACGACCCUUAGGACGUUGACGAAAUGGUUUNAAACCACCCGUCUUAAACACGGCCAAGGGUCUAACAUAUAUGCGAGUAUUUGGGUGGCAAACCCAUAUGCGUAAUAAAGUAUUCAGGUGGGUCUUCGUGCACCAUCGACCGGUCUGAUAUUUUAAUGAUAGAUCUGGGUAACGAGCAUAUCUGUUGGGNCCCNAANAUGGUGACUAUGCCUNAUAGGGCNAGCCANNCGNAA
RNAcentral lists this ribosomal RNA (781 nucleotides) under Oedogoniomyces sp. CR90. RNAcentral describes it as "eukaryotic LSU rRNA". It matches the Rfam family "Eukaryotic large subunit ribosomal RNA", at positions 95 to 861 of the family's 3401-position model. Lineage: Eukaryota; Fungi; Monoblepharomycota; Monoblepharidomycetes; Monoblepharidales; Oedogoniomycetaceae. The record is from RNAcentral.